AGCCUUGCCCGGUGAUCCUGAUCAACGACCACACCCACGAGUCUGCCGAGACGUUCCGUCUGGCACUGGGGGAGGCGCGCGCCGGCGGCGGCGGCCCGGCGCUCCUGGGACCCAGGAACACCACGGAGGUCACCGUGCGUGACACGGCUGACAUACCUCUGAUCAAGUUCGAGUCGCGCCGUGUGCGGAUCACCGAGCCAACCAGCGCUCAGGAGCCGGUGGCGGCGCGGGUGGCCGUGGUGCGACUCGGGGACCUUAGCGGCGCCUCUGUCGUCAGACUGUACACCAGAGACGGCUCGGCACGCGCCGGACAGGACUACCAUGGCGUCUCCAGAGAGCUGGAGUUUGGCGUGAACGUCUCACGACUGGUGGUUCCUGUUGAGAUCCUGUUCGACAGGGACCGGGAGCACCGUGAGGCCUUCUCCGUCCAUCUGACAGAGGACCA
Amphibalanus amphitrite is the source of this 445-nucleotide long non-coding RNA. RefSeq lists it as uncharacterized. The record is from RefSeq and is a predicted model, not a curated record. The transcript is spliced from 3 exons. Lineage: Eukaryota; Metazoa; Arthropoda; Thecostraca; Balanomorpha; Balanidae.